Sebastes umbrosus (honeycomb rockfish) is the source of this 721-nucleotide long non-coding RNA. RefSeq lists it as uncharacterized. NCBI's taxonomy places the organism in Eukaryota, Metazoa, Chordata, Actinopteri, Perciformes, Sebastidae. The record is from RefSeq and is a predicted model, not a curated record. The transcript is spliced from 2 exons.
GUCACCUUGUAUUUUGUUAAGUGAAACACGAACUGCUCGGUGAUAAAGUUCUGGUGGACAGACUGCACAGCGUUACUACCUUAUAUAAUAAUAACCGACGAGGACAAAAUAAGGGAAACACCACAUGAAAAAACAACUUCCGCUCUGCAGCAUCACAUCACAUCACAUCACAUCACAUCACAGCUACAGAGAGGCAGCUGUUGGGUUAUUAUCUGGACUGACAGCUGUGAUUUGUCUGCCAGCUUCAGAGGAGACACAUCCACUUCCAGCAUGAGUGAGAUAACAGACUUUGACAGAGGCCAGAUUGUCGGUGCACAACUUGCAGGUCUGUCAGCCAGCAAAACUGCCCAGUUGUGUGACGUAUCGAGUCGAACUGUCCUCAAAGUCAUGAGUGUCUAUAACACACAUGGACAGACUUCAUCAGCAAAGAAGAACAGUGGGCACAAGCCAGACAGGAGAAGGAAAAGACUGACAAAAGCUGCUGCUAAUGAAGAAGCUGCCGGUGGGAAACCAGUAUCUGACCCCGAGGUCGACACACAAAACCCUGAUGAGGAGACCAAGAGACCUGAAUCCCAGACCAAAGACAAAGACUCAUUUUAGUCUGAUGUGCUGUGUUUCAGGCUUUCCAAUGUAUUAGCACUGGUUAAUGUUUGCAUAAAGCCACAACUCUAACCCACAAUUUUGCUCACUUUUGUUUAUUAAAGGACCUGUUUGUAACUUC